UACGUAGGGUGCAAGCGUUGUCCGGAAUUAUUGGGCGUAAAGAGCUCGUAGGCGGUCUGUCGCGUCUGCUGUGAAAACUCAGGGCUUAACCCUGAGCUUGCAGUGGGUACGGGCAGACUAGAGUGCGGUAGGGGAGACUGGAAUUCCUGGUGUAGCGGUGAAAUGCGCAGAUAUCAGGGAGGAACACCGGUGGCGAAGGCGGGUCUCUGGGCCGUAACUGACGCUGGAGGAGCGAAAGCAUGGGGAGCGAACAGG
RNAcentral lists this ribosomal RNA (255 nucleotides) under uncultured bacterium. RNAcentral's name for it is "partial 16S ribosomal RNA". It matches the Rfam family "Bacterial small subunit ribosomal RNA", at positions 524 to 776 of the family's 1533-position model. The record is from RNAcentral.